ACACGGUGGAUGCCCUGGCAGUCAGAGGCGAUGAAGGGCGUACUAAUCUGCGAUAAGCGCCGGUAAGGUGAUAUGAACCGUUAUAACCGGCGAUACCCGAAUGGGGAAACCCAGUGUGAUUCGUCACACUAUCAUUAACUGAAUCCAUAGGUUAAUGAGGCGAACCGGGGGAACUGAAACAUCUAAGUACCCCGAGGAAAAGAAAUCAACCGAGAUUCCCCCAGUAGCGGCGAGCGAACGGGGAGGAGCCCAGAGCCUGAAUCAGCAUGUGUGUUAGUGGAAGCGUCUGGAAAGGCGCGCGAUACAGGGUGACAGCCCCGUACACAAAAGCGCAUGUGCUGUGAGCUCGAUGAGUAGGGCGGGACACGUGGUAUCCUGUCUGAAUAUGGGGGGACCAUCCUCCAAGGCUAAAUACUCCUGACUGACCGAUAGUGAACCAGUACCGUGAGGGAAAGGCGAAAAGAACCCCGGCGAGGGGAGUGAAAAAGAACCUGAAACCGU
This 501-nucleotide ribosomal RNA is filed under the name Salmonella enterica subsp. enterica serovar Enteritidis. Its description in RNAcentral is "partial 23S ribosomal RNA". It matches the Rfam family "Bacterial large subunit ribosomal RNA", at positions 20 to 559 of the family's 2925-position model. The record is from RNAcentral. Lineage: Bacteria; Pseudomonadati; Pseudomonadota; Gammaproteobacteria; Enterobacterales; Enterobacteriaceae.